Molecule: non-coding RNA, 72 nt
Organism: Bos taurus (domestic cattle)
Lineage: Eukaryota; Metazoa; Chordata; Mammalia; Artiodactyla; Bovidae
Source: Rfam
UCCCUGGUGGCUCAGAAAGUAAAGAAUCUGCCUGCAACGCAGGAGACCCAGGUUCAAUCCCUGGGUUGGGAA